GACUAGUUUUAUUAUUACCAAAUCAAAAAGAAAAAGCUAUCAUUUUUCUCUUCUCCUUCACCGAAAUAUGCAGCAAAGAAAUGGCUUUGAAGCUGGAAAAUUUCAGCAACAUAUUUCCCUUGCUUAUGAUGAAAAUCGAGAUUUGGACCUAGAACGGAAAGAAAUCGAUUAAGGGAUAAUUACGCUUUUUUUUACCUUUGUGGUAUCGAGAGUUUCUAGGUUAGCUCGGGUUGGAGGCCGUCAGAGAUAUUAUCACACUGUCAAGCUAACGCUAUUGGUGUAGUGAUUUCAAGUACUUUGAGCCUAUGGCAUGUAUAGGAGUUUAAAUAUUAGAGUAUGUGAUAUGGCUUUAACCAUAUGUGUUGUUGGCCUAUUUUGAUUAUGGGGUUGUAAAUCUAUUUUAAUUAUGCAUGCAUGUGCUAUGGUAUUAUGUGAUGAGUUUAUAAUGAUUAUAGUAUGAAUGUGGUAAAGAUGUGAGUAAAA
Molecule: long non-coding RNA, 483 nt
Organism: Gossypium arboreum
Lineage: Eukaryota; Viridiplantae; Streptophyta; Magnoliopsida; Malvales; Malvaceae
Exons: 3
Source: RefSeq, a predicted model, not a curated record